Molecule: ribosomal RNA, 447 nt
Filed under: uncultured bacterium
Lineage: Bacteria
Description: bacterial SSU rRNA
Rfam family: Bacterial small subunit ribosomal RNA
Source: RNAcentral
CCAGACUCCUACGGGAGGCAGCAGUGGGGAAUAUUGGGCAAUGGGCGCAAGCCUGACCCAGCAACGCCGCGUGAAGGAAGAAGGCUUUCGGGUUGUAAACUUCUUUUCUCAGGGACGAAGAAAGUGACGGUACCUGAGGAAUAAGCCACGGCUAACUACGUGCCAGCAGCCGCGGUAAUACGUAGGUGGCAAGCGUUAUCCGGAUUUAUUGGGUGUAAAGGGCGUGUAGGCGGGAGCGCAAGUCAGAUGUGAAAACUCAGGGCUCAACCCUGAGCCUGCAUUUGAAACUGUGUUUCUUGAGUGCUGGAGAGGCAAUCGGAAUUCCGUGUGUAGCGGUGAAAUGCGUAAAUAUAUGUAAGAACACCAGUGGCGAAGGCGGCUUGCUGGGUCGAUACUGACAUUGAGGCACGAAAGCGUGGGGAGCAAACAGGAUUAGAUACCCGAGUA